GAAGACUUAAAAAUCAUUAACAAAAUCAAUAAUCAACUUCUAAAACUCAAACUUAUCAUUUCCCCAAAAUCUGGAAGUCAUCAUCACAAGAACAUCUAUCCUUAAAUUACUAAAGCUAAGAGUAUCUAAGAAACUAAACAUAAAUAAUGGCUAGUCUAUGCCAGAACUUCAAGGCAUCAAGACAUGAAGAAGAAGAUCCAGUCCAAGCUAGAAGCUUUAGCUCACCCUGAAAUCUGGUGUGACAAAGACUGGCUAGAGUUGCGGUUGGGUUGAAGACGACGGUACGUUUGCUGCACUCCACAAUGAACAAAAAGAAAACAUACAAGUAGGGGUCAGUACAAAACACGAGUACUGAGUAGAUAUCAUCGGCCAACUCAAAAUAGAAAACAGUAUAUAUCAGAUAAUAUCAUAAAAUCAACUACAAUACUCAACAUGCGGCAUUUACAAUUACCAUAACCCUUGGUCACAACACCAAGCACAUCAAUGAGGACUCACGCCUCCCCAUCAUACUCAUUUGGGAUAUAGGUUCUUUUCAUUCGAAUUUAUUAACAUAAUUUCAAGAUUCAUUAUCUUUAUUCCUCUUGUGUCGGUACGUGACACUCCGCUCCCCUACUACUAUGUGCCGGAACGUGACACUCUGAUCCCCUAAUUCUACGUGUCGGUUCGUGACACCCGAUCCCCUAAUUCUAUGUGUCGAUUUGUGACACCCGAUCCCCUAAUUCUACGUGUCGGUUCGUGACACCCGAUCCCUAAUUCUACGUGUCGGUUCGUGACACCCGAUCCCCUAAUUCUACGUGUCGGUUCGUGACACCCGAUCUCCUAAUUCUACGUGUCAGUUCGUGACACCCGAUCCCCUAAUUCUAUGUGUCGGUUCGUGACACCCGCUCCACUAAUCUCAUUCUAUUAAUUCAUCAAGCCUUCUUUUAUACCAAGGCAUCAUCAAUCUCAUUACUUUAGUUCAUCAAGCCUUCUUUUAUACCAAGACAUCAUCAAUAUCAUUACUUUAGUUCAUCAAGCCUUCUCUUAUACCAAGGCAUCAUCAAUCUCAUUACUUUAGUUCAUCAAGCCUUCUCUUAUACCAAGGCAUCAUCAUUAACAAGGUAAAUUUAGGAUUAGAGAUUCAAUAGACUCAUCAUGCUUAUUCAUCACAAUUAUAUAAUCACAUCAUGUAAGCACACAAUUAAGCAUAUAGAAGGUUUUAUAAUACUACCCAACACAUAUCAUUCGCUAUUAAGAGUUUACUACGAAUAGCAUAAAAACCAUAACCUACCUCCACCGAAGAUUCGUGAUCAAGCAAGCAAAUUUCCCAAAGCUUGUGUUUCCUCUUCGUUCGUAUCUCUCUCGAUCGUUUCUCUUUCCCUCUCCUUGUUCUUUCUAUUUUUCUUAUUCCAACCCUAUUUCUUUUACCCUAAUUAGCAUAUAAUUAAGUAUAAAAGAUGAGGAAUUAACCCACUAAUUAACUCAAGGUUAUCUCCUUUAACCCCCAAGUAAUUGAGUUAUUAAUAUUAAACCACUAACUUUAUAAUUAUAAGCAGGAAUAGUCCAAAACGCCUCUUAAAAUAUUUACAGAAAUCUGACCAGCCUGGGAUUACGCAACCUGUGACGGUCCGUCCUGCAGGUCCGUAGCAAAGUUCAGAGAGUUAAUUUUUGUGGAAAAUGUGUGACGGUCCGUCGUGCCCACGACGGUCCGUCCUGCCAUUCCGUCACGAAGUUCAGAGAGCCGAUUUCAGUACCCAAAUUUCAGAAUUCUAAGUGUUUUGGAACGAGACCCCCAUGACGGUACGUCGUGCCCAUGACGGUUCGUCGUGGGAUCCAUCGACUUAGCCAGUUUUUCCAGAAAUAAAAUCUGCUGCUCAAAACGACUAAACAGGUCGUUACAGAAAUGUUACUCAUGAAAUUUAUUUAUUAAGAAGGUCAAUUUUCUAUUUUAAAACAAUUUAAAUUUUAUAGAAAAUAUUUUUUAAAAUCUUUUGAUCAAUGAAAUAUAAGUAAAUAGAUUUUUUUCGUCGUAUCAUACACAUCCUAAGUGGAUAUUAUUUUUCUAGGAAGGAUUUGUUAUUUAUUAAAACUGCAAUCAGCAAGACUGCUAAUUAUUGUUACUUUCAAGUUCUUUUCUAGUAAACAUGAAAGAUUUUAAGAAAAUAAUAGUAUGGUUUUAUAUGCUGAUUAUCUUUAGGAUAUUUAAAGAUAUAAUAAUAAUAAUAAUAAUAAUAAUGAUGAUGAUGAUGAUGAUAAAUGUUUAAAGUUGACUUAGUUUUUUCAGAUAUUAAUAAAGUUAAUGAAGGGGCUACAAAUCAAAUUGUAAUUUCAAAUUGAAUUGAUGAUCAAAUCAAAUAGAAAAAAUAUAUAUAUUCAUAGUUUGGUUUGACUGUCGAAAAAGGAAAACGAAAAUUCUUUAUCUGAUUUGAUUUUUAAAAAAAUAAAAUUUUAAAAUGAACUUAAAUCAAAUAGACAUAAUUAUAAGGAAAUCGAAAAAUCACAAAAUAGAACCUCACUAAAAUCGAAUUCAAAAAAAUUGACUUUAUGAUUUAAUUUGGUUUGAUUUAUAAAUUUAAUAAAUCGAAAUAAUUAGUUUAGUUUAUUUUUAGUAAAAAACAAACUAACCCAAUCUAAUCUACUAUGCAAGAAUUGGUUAUGCAAAAACUAAUUACGUGUGUACGUAUUAUUUAUUCAUGUAUUGAUUAUUUUAUCUUCUAUUCUGUAUAAAAUUAUACAUAGAUUCUCUCACAACUUAUAUAUAUAUUUAUUAUGCAAAUUACAAGUCAAACAACAUUCAUUUCUAAAUAUAAUAUUACGUGAUAAAAUCAAGCUCACAAUAUAAUAGAAAGAGAAGAAGACAAAAAAAGUAAGAUAAAAGAAAGAACUUUUCUUCUUCUCUUACUAUUAUAUUAUGAGCUUGAUUUUAUGACACGUUAUCAGCACGAUUCUCUAACCAACUGAGACUGGAUUUCAUCCUUGCAAAUUAUAACUUAGAUAGCUUGUAAUUGGAGAUAAAAGAGUGUAGAGUAAUAACACUGAGAUUUGCACCUGCAAUAUUAUUUUCAUGGAGGAGAGACAACAGAGUUUGUACACCUCGUCCCUUCAAAAUUUCUAUUUAAAAAAAUAAAUCAAGAUGGUUUGUCCAAAAAUGCAUCCAAGUUAUUUAUUAUCAUGGUUCCAUUAUUCAGAAUUGGAGUUGAUU
Molecule: long non-coding RNA, 3181 nt
Filed under: Solanum lycopersicum (tomato)
Lineage: Eukaryota; Viridiplantae; Streptophyta; Magnoliopsida; Solanales; Solanaceae
Description: long non-coding RNA (SLYC_LNC000153)
Source: RNAcentral